CUUAGCUACCUACAAGCUGUCCAAGGCCGCCCACUGAGCUGCCGAUGGCUGCAGAAGGUGGCCCGGAGCCUGGCACUGGCCCUGCUGUGCCUUGUGCUGUCCACUUGCGUGGGCCCCUACCUCUUCCCGUACUUCAUCCCCCUCGACGGUGACCGCCUCCUUCGCAAGUGAGCACAGCCUUCGAGGCCCCUGCCCAGCAAUGAGGGGGUUGGGUAGGGACCCGCGGUUUCCCCAGUUCUGAGCCUGUCUCUUAAUGCUUCUUUCUGUCUUCUGUUACUACAGCAAGAAACGCAAAGCCAGGUAAAUGAGGGCAGGUGUGAGGGCACGUGGAGUGGGGCUGACAUGAGUGGGGGCAGAGCCCAUGACCAAUGGGUUCUGUGUGUCCAAGUGUGUCUGACCGUCAACUCCAUGACUAGACAGAGACUGUGGUUGGCUGGCUGGCUGACGAAGCUUGGCUCUGUGACUCUGUUUGACUGACACUCCAACACAUACUGUCUCUGGCUGUCCAUCUGUUCAGCUGUCUCGCUGUUAGAAGCAAGUCAUAUUAACUGUCAUGGAGAGUGACAAGUAUGUGUUGGUUGGGUGACUUUAACCUGUCAGUGACUCUGUCUAGGGAUAUGUAUGAUGUAUGUUUGUCUAUUGGCCACUGACCCCCGAAUGUAAGCCUGUGAGUGGCUGUCUGGCUGUGCCAUCAUCAGUGAUAGGGUAUGUGGCUGUCAUUGGAUAAGAUAAAUCUGUGUUCAAGAUUCUGACUUUUUGUAGCUUUGGCCAGGAAUGGGUCUGACUGUGGCAUGUCAUAUGCCUGUCUGUGGAGUUCAUGGACUACCUCUGCCUGUGUGUCUGCCUUCCCUGAUGGCUUGGUGUUGUCUAGCUGAGGGGUUGUACCCGACUCUGGUCUGUGCCUGUCUGCAGGACUGACUGCCUCUAGUUUGACUAUAGGGUUUGAUCUGGCUCUUUGGUUGUAUGGCCCCUCCCCUACUCCCUGGCUGCUGAUUAGGUCUAAUGCCGAAUGAGUCUCCAAAAGGUCAAGUGACUUGACCAGUGUCACCCAGCUAAGCAGCCAGGCAUGAAUCCCAGGCCUAACUUCAGAACCUAUGCUUUUUCCAACGCAGGAUGCUGCCUGUUUUUGACCAUGUCUGAUUACAACUAGUAGGGGGGGUGUGUGUGUGCACAGCAGGGUGUUUGAUGGUCUCUGCGCCCAGCUCAGGGAUUUUUGGCUGUCCUGUAGUCGCUGAGUCAGGUUAGAGCAUUGCAAGGCUGGGAGUCUGAUAAGAUUUGUGUCUGGCUGUUAGAGGGUGCAGGUCUGUGAAGUCGGGCCUCUGAUGGUGGCUAGCUUUGGCCGUCUGGCCACAUGAGCCUGCAGGGCCAUGCCAUAUUAUAGGACAGCUCAUGCAUCCAUUUGAGCCACAUAAGACUAACUGCCUGAGGGUGGAUGUCUGUGUGUGACUAUCAUAGUUCACCUUUUUUGCGGCUACAUUUCGUCUGUCUUGUCUGAACAAUUCAGACCAGCCUCCAAG
Molecule: long non-coding RNA, 1517 nt
Filed under: Pan troglodytes (chimpanzee)
Lineage: Eukaryota; Metazoa; Chordata; Mammalia; Primates; Hominidae
Description: long non-coding RNA NONPTRT018265
Source: RNAcentral